GCAGUCGAACGGUAACAGGUCUUCGGAUGCUGACGAGUGGCGAACGGGUGAGUAAUACAUCGGAACGUGCCCGAUCGUGGGGGAUAACGAGGCGAAAGCUUUGCUAAUACCGCAUACGAUCUACGGAUGAAAGCGGGGGAUCUUCGGACCUCGCGCGGACGGAGCGGCCGAUGGCAGAUUAGGUAGUUGGUGGGAUAAAAGCUUACCAAGCCGACGAUCUGUAGCUGGUCUGAGAGGAUGAUCAGCCACACUGGGACUGAGACGCGGCCCAGACUCCUACGGGAGGCAGCAGUGGGGAAUUUUGGACAAUGGGGGAAACCCUGAUCCAGCCAUGCCGCGUGCAGGAUGAAGGCCUUCGGGUUGUAAACUGCUUUUGUACAGAACGAAAAGGUUUCGGUUAAUACCUGGAGCCCAUGACGGUACUGUAAGAAUAAGCACCGGCUAACUACGUGCCAGCAGCCGCGGUAAUACGUAGGGUGCAAGCGUUAAUCGGAAUUACUGGGCGUAAAGCGUGCGCAGGCGGUUAUGUAAGACAGAUGUGAAAUCCCCGGGCUCAACCUGGGAACUGCAUUUGUGACUGCAUAGCUUGAGUGCGGCAGAGGGGGAUGGAAUUCCGCGUGUAGCAGUGAAAUGCGUAGAUAUGCGGAGGAACACCGAUGGCGAAGGCAAUCCCCUGGGCCUGCACUGACGCUCAUGCACGAAAGCGUGGGGAGCAAACAGGAUUAGAUACCCUGGUAGUCCACGCCCUAAACGAUGUCAACUGGUUGUUGGGUCUUCAUUGACUCAGUAACGAAGCUAACGCGUGAAGUUGACCGCCUGGGGAGUACGGCCGCAAG
This 836-nucleotide ribosomal RNA is filed under the name uncultured bacterium. Its description in RNAcentral is "bacterial SSU rRNA". It matches the Rfam family "Bacterial small subunit ribosomal RNA", at positions 57 to 892 of the family's 1533-position model. The record is from RNAcentral.